CUACACAUGCAAGUCGAGCGGAAACGAAGAGGUGCUUGCACCUCUGGCGUCGAGCGCUGGAGGGGCUAGUAAUGCUUGGGAAUAUGCCUUAUGGUGGGGGAUAACUGUUGGAAACGACUGCUAAUACCGCAUGAUGUCUACGGACCAAAGUGGGGGACCUUCGGGCCUCACGCCAUAAGAUUAGCCCAAGUGGGAUUAGCUAGUUGGUGAGGUAAUGGCUCACCAAGGCGACGAUCCCUAGCUGGUUUGAGAGGAUGAUCAGCCACACUGGGACUGAGACACGGCCCAGACUCCUACGGGAGGCAGCAGUGGGGAAUAUUGCACAAUGGGCGCAAGCCUGAUGCAGCCAUGCCGCGUGUGUGAAGAAGGCCUUCGGGUUGUAAAGCACUUUCAGUAAGGAGGAAAGGUUAAGUGUUAAUAGCACUUAGCUGUGACGUUACUUACAGAAGAAGCACCGGCUAACUCCGUGCCAGCAGCCGCGGUAAUACGGAGGGUGCGAGCGUUAAUCGGAAUUACUGGGCGUAAAGCGUACGCAGGCGGUUUGUUAAGCGAGAUGUGAAAGCCCCGGGCUCAACCUGGGAACUGCAUUUCGAACUGGCAAACUAGAGUGUGAUAGAGGGUGGUAGAAUUUCAGGUGU
RNAcentral lists this ribosomal RNA (638 nucleotides) under Pseudoalteromonas sp. 43W(2010). RNAcentral's name for it is "bacterial SSU rRNA". It matches the Rfam family "Bacterial small subunit ribosomal RNA", at positions 49 to 676 of the family's 1533-position model. The record is from RNAcentral. Lineage: Bacteria; Pseudomonadati; Pseudomonadota; Gammaproteobacteria; Alteromonadales; Pseudoalteromonadaceae.